AUCCAGGUUUUACAUUCCUACCUAGUCCAGGCCGUAGUUUAAAUAACGCCCAUCCCGUUUCUUGUCUACCAAGCAAACGUGCCCUAGAUAUAUACUACAAAGUUUUUGGGAAAGCUGCACACUUCUCCAAUGGCGACCGAAGCACCAGAGCAAGCCCCGCCAGCUGAUGGAAUCCAAUCUCUUUCAAUUUCCGAGUCUCCACCAUCCAGUUCCUCAAGUCCAACUAUCCAAAUGAGUUUGGAGGAGAAGUACCAGAUGGUGAGGAGCGUGGCAGAGGAAUGUAUUCAGGAGGACUAGCUUCGGAAUUUGCUGGCUCAUAAGCCCGAACCCAUCUGCUCUGAUGGGUUUCAACCCUCCGGUAGAAUGCAUAUUGCUCAGGGAGUUAUGAAGAUGAUAAAUGUGAACAAGAUGACCGCCGCUGGCUGCAGAGUGAAAAUAUGGAUUGCUGAUUUGUUUGCAAAGCUAAGUAAACGUGCCCUAGGUAUACUCUACAAAGCUUUUGGGAAAGCUCCCACACUAAGCUCAUCAAAUCCAGCUAUCCAAAUGAGUUUGGAGGAGAAGUACCAGAUGGUGAGGAGCGUGGCAGAGGAGUGUAUUCAAGAUUACGAGCUUCGGAAUUUGCUGGCUCAUAAGCCCGAACCCAUCUGCUAUGAUGGGUUUGAACCCUCCGGUCGAAUGCACAUUGCUCAGGUGUUAUUUCAAAUUUUUUAGCAAUCAUAAAAUUCGUAACACAUAAUUCAUAUUGAUUAUGUAUCUGUAAAUUUCAGUAGUUCAAUUUGAACAAGAUUUGAUACAUUUUGUGGAGAGAAGGGAGUUAUGAAGACGAUAAAUGUGAACAAGAUGACCUCUGCUGGCUGCAGAGUGAAAGUAUGGAUUGCAGAUUGGUUUGCACAAUUAAACAAUAAGAUGGGGGGUGAUUUGAAAAAGAUAGAGACUGUUGGGCGCUACACGAUAGAGAUACGGAAGGCUGCUGGGAUGAAUUUGGACAAUGGCAAAGUUGAGUUUGUGUGGUCUUCAGAGGAGAUUAAUGCGAGAUCACAUGAGUAUUGGCCUCGGGUGAUGGACAUAGCUCGAAAGUAUACAGUUAACAGGAUGACUAGGUCGCUAGCCUAUUAUGAUGCUUAUUGUGCCUAUUAGAUUUAUACUGUUGCAGUUCCAUCAUGUUCUCAUAUGUGCUGUUUCAUAAAAAUUCACAGGAAGCAUUUCUCUUUGACCAUUCUGUUUUUCUUUGGUCAAAU
This is an RNA transcript of Prunus dulcis (almond), 1238 nucleotides long. It is a transcript of the gene named tyrosine--tRNA ligase 2, cytoplasmic-like, with no coding region annotated. The transcript is spliced from 5 exons. The record is from RefSeq and is a predicted model, not a curated record. NCBI's taxonomy places the organism in Eukaryota, Viridiplantae, Streptophyta, Magnoliopsida, Rosales, Rosaceae.